Molecule: ribosomal RNA, 372 nt
Filed under: uncultured organism
Description: bacterial SSU rRNA
Rfam family: Bacterial small subunit ribosomal RNA
Source: RNAcentral
CGGAGGGUGCGAGCGUUAAUCGGAGUAACUGGGCGUAAAGGGCGCGUAGGCGGUUUACCAAGUGAGUUGUGAAAUCCCUGGGCUUAACCUAGGGUGUGCAGAUUAGACUGGUGAACUGGAGUGCAGUAGAGGGUGGCGGAAUUUCCGGUGUAGCGGUGAAAUGCGUAGAGAUCGGAAGGAACACCCGUGGCGAAGGCGGCCACCUGGACUGAGACUGACGCUGAGGCGCGAAAGCGUGGGUAGCAAACAGGAUUAGAUACCCUGGUAGUCCACGCUGUAAACGAUGAGAACUAGAUGUUGGCCUGCGCGAGCGGGCGAGUAUCGAAGCUAACGCGAUAAGUUCUCCGCCUGGGGAGUACGGCCGCAAGGUUA